AGAACUGAUAACUACAUUUUGUAAAUGCGUAGUUUACAAAUCUGUUAUGGAAUACAACCAAGUGUGAUUCUUAUAUGCAAAAUCAAGUAGAAUGAAAAUUCAUAACAUUGGAUUGGGUGGUUUGGGUUUUUGAGCCCCAUUCAUGGACGUUGGAUCGCCCGGAUAAUAGCUUUUGACAGCUUCGUCUUAGCCAAUACUCCAUCUAUGAAGUCUCCGCAUCAUCUUGGGAAGACUAACUAGAUUCAUCAGAAUUUCUCAACCAGAAUUCAUCUCCAGGUGAAGACAAUGUGUUGGAUGUCGGAUUCAGUGGUAAUAGGUCCUUCUUUCGCCAGCUUUCAGUCUGACCUUUGCUCACUUCUUUGCCUGUGGCUAAAAAAACAGCUAUCUCGUACAUAUGUUCUAUUUUCUGGUCAUAGCGAGAACCAGCUAAAUGGAAAAGAACUCUAGGGAAUAACAGUAAGACAAACUCGAAGACAAUACCUUCUAGCAAACUCCCAUGGCAUUGUAUUGUGUGGUUCCCUCAGGCCAUACCCCGACAGUCCUUCAUGGUUUGGUUAGCGUUUAAGAACAGAUUAUCAACCGGUGUUAUAAUGAGAGGAACGGGAAGUGAGCAAGGUUGUGUCUACUGCGGAGAGAAAGAUGAAAGCAGAGAUCAUCUGUUUUUCUCAUGCCCAUAUACUUUCACGGUAUGGAUGAACGUUGCAGAAAAAUUACUCAAUGCAGCAAUAACACCGGACUGGGACACCUCCCUUUUGCACUCGAACAUGAACAGAUUCGACUCUAUACUUCUCCGCUUAGUGUUUCAGACAUCCAUUUACGUGCUGUAGAAGGAGAGGAACUGAGAAGGCAUGGAGGUGUUUGUGCAUCUGUGGAUAUGACUACUAAGGUCAUUAGGAAAUUGGUCAAAAAACCGUAUCUCUUCAUUGAAGUAUACGGGUAAUCACAAGUUGCGGGAACUGCUAGUGAGAUGGUUUACUGUCUAUACCUCUUAGGAAACCUCAUUCUUUUAUUCUUUACAGUUGAGAACAAUAAAUCAUCAUUAUGUAAAUCUCUUUUUCACUUUUGAUCAAUAAAUUUGAUAUUUAAUUAAAAAAAAACAAUUCAUAAAAAUUAUAACUAUUUUACUUUGUUCUCAAUAUUUCCAUUUCUUGAAUUUAAUAGAUUUUUAAUACAUUUCUUCUUAAAUUUUAUAAUUUAAAAAUUCAAAAUAAAAGCUAAAUUAUAUUUUUAAAAAGCAAGUAGCAUAAGAAUAUGAUAUUAAUUGUUACUGUUUAAUAUUAAUUGAUGUUGUUGGUAGUUUAAGGGAGUAAUAUUUGGCUGUAACUACUUCAGUGGAAUGAUUCUGAUGUUAUUUAGUAACUUUGUUAAUCCUGAUUUGUUUGAAUAAGUUAUUUUUCACUUUGAAAUUCCUUGUCGACGUACUCACACUAUGGCUUAAGACUUUAAGUAGUAUGUGGAACCCUUACUAACGUUAUGUGUGUUAUUAAUAUUGCAAUUUUUAACUUGUGAAGAUAGCAGCUUCAUAUUCGAUCAAAGAAAAAGGGUAUUAGCUUUAUAUAGUUUGGACAACCUAGAUAUUCUUUUAUUUUUUGGAUAAAAGACAAUUCGAUUGUGUAAAUGCAUUACGGUAUACUAUUUUUGACUGUCACCAGAAGAAAAGGAAUAUUUGAGAACUGAUAACUACAUUUUGUAAAUGCGUAGUUUACAAAUCUGUUAUGGAAUACAACCAAGUGUGAUUCUUAUAUGCAAAAUCAAGUAGAAUGAAAAUUCAUAACAUUGGAUUGGGUGGUUUGGGUUUUUGAGCCCCAUUCAUGGACGUUGGAUCGCCCGGAUAAUAGCUUUUGACAGCUUCGUCUUAGCCAAUACUCCAUCUAUGAAGUCUCCGCAUCAUCUUGGGAAGACUAACUAGAUUCAUCAGAAUUUCUCAACCAGAAUUCAUCUCCAGGUGAAGACAAUGUGUUGGAUGUCGGAUUCAGUGGUAAUAGGUCCUUCUUUCGCCAGCUUUCAGUCUGACCUUUGCUCACUUCUUUGCCUGUGGCUAAAAAAACAGCUAUCUCGUACAUAUGUUCUAUUUUCUGGUCAUAGCGAGAACCAGCUAAAUGGAAAAGAACCCUAGGGAAUAACAGUAAGACAAACUCGAAGACAAUACCUUCUAGCAAACUCCCAUGGCAUUGUAUUGUGUGGUUCCCUCAGGCCAUACCCCGACAGUCCUUCAUGGUUUGGUUAGCGUUUAAGAACAGAUUAUCAACCGGUGUUAUAAUGAGAGGAACGGGAAGUGAGCAAGGUUGUGUCUACUGCGGAGAGAAAGAUGAAAGCAGAGAUCAUCUGUUUUUCUCAUGCCCAUAUACUUUCACGGUAUGGAUGAACGUUGCAGAAAAAUUACUCAAUGCAGCAAUAACACCGGACUGGGACACCUCCCUUUUGCACUCGAACAUGAACAGAUUCGACUCUAUACUUCUCCGCUUAGUGUUUCAGACAUCCAUUUACGUGCUGUAGAAGGAGAGGAACUGAGAAGGCAUGGAGGUGUUUGUGCAUCUGUGGAUAUGACUACUAAGGUCAUUAGGAAAUUGGUCAAAAACCGUAUCUCUUCAUUGAAGUAUACGGGUAAUCACAAGUUGCGGGAACUGCUAGUGAGAUGGUUACUGUCUAUACCUCUUAGGAAACCUCAUUCUUUUAUUCUUUACAGUUGAGAACAAUAAAUCAUCAUUAUGUAAAUCUCUUUUUCACUUUUGAUCAAUAAAUUUGAUAUUUAAUUAAAAAAAAACAAUUCAUAAAAAUUAUAACUAUUUUACUUUGUUCUCAAUAUUUCCAUUUCUUGAAUUUAAUAGAUUUUUAAUACAUUUCUUCUUAAAUUUUAUAAUUUAAAAAAUUCAAAAUAAAAGCUAAAUUAUAUUUUUUAAAAAGCAAGUAGCAUAAGAAUAUGAUAUUAAUUGUUACUGUUUAAUAUUAAUUGAUGUUGUUGGUAGUUUAAGGAGUAAUAUUUGGCUGUAACUACUUCAGUGGAAUGAUUCUGAUGUUAUUUAGUAACUUUGUUAAUCCUGAUUUGUUUGAAUAAGUUAUUUUUCACUUUGAAAUUCCUUGUCGACGUACUCACACUAUGGCUUAAGACUUUAAGUAGUAUGUGGAACCCUUACUAACGUUAUGUGUGUUAUUAAUAUUGCAAUUUUUAACUUGUGAAGAUAGCAGCUUCAUAUUCGAUCAAAGAAAAAGGGUAUUAGCUUUAUAUAGUUUGGACAACCUAGAUAUUCUUUUUUUUUUGGAUAAAAGACAAUUCGAUUGUGUAAAUGCAUUACGGUAUACUAUUUUUGACUGUCACCAGAAGAAAAGGAAUAUUUGAGAACUGAUAACUACUUUUGUAAAUGCGUAGUUUACAAAUCUGUUAUGGAAUACAACCAAGUGUGAUUCUUAUAUGCAAAAUCAAGUAGAAUGAAAAUUCAUAACAUUGGAUUGGGUGGUUUGGGUUUUUGAGCCCCAUUCAUGGACGUUGGAUCGCCCGGAUAAUAGCUUUUGACAGCUUCGUCUUAGCCAAUACUCCAUCUAUGAAGUCUCCGCAUCAUCUUGGGAAGACUAACUAGAUUCAUCAGAAUUUCUCAACCAGAAUUCAUCUCCAGGUGAAGACAAUGUGUUGGAUGUCGGAUUCAGUGGUAAUAGGUCCUUCUUUCGCCAGCUUUCAGUCUGACCUUUGCUCACUU
Molecule: long non-coding RNA, 3692 nt
Filed under: Brassica rapa (field mustard)
Lineage: Eukaryota; Viridiplantae; Streptophyta; Magnoliopsida; Brassicales; Brassicaceae
Description: long non-coding RNA (BRAP_LNC002722)
Source: RNAcentral